CAACCCGAUGCAAACUGCGAAUACCGGAGAAUGUUAUCACGGGAGACACACGGCGGGUGCUAACGUCCGUCGUGAAGAGGGAAACAACCCAGACCGCCAGCUAAGGUCCCAAAGUCAUGGUUAAGUGGGAAACGAUGUGGGAAGGCCCAGACAGCCAGGAUGUUGGCUUAGAAGCAGCCAUCAUUUAAAGAAAGCGUAAUAGCUCACUGGUCGAGUCGGCCUGCGCGGAAGAUGUAACGGGGCUAAACCAUGCACCGAAGCUGCGGCAGCGACGCUGAUGCGUUGUUGGGUAGGGGAGCGUUCUGUAAGCCUGCGAAGGUGUGCUGUGAGGCAUGCUGGAGGUAUCAGAAGUGCGAAUGCUGACAUAAGUAACGAUAAAGCGGGUGAAAAGCCCGCUCGCCGGAAGACCAAGGGUUCCUGUCCAACGUUAAUCGGGGCAGGGUGAGUCGACCCCUAAGGCGAGGCCGAAAGGCGUAGUCGAUGGGAAACAGGUUAAUAUUCCUGUACUUGGUGUUACUGCGAAGGGGGGACGGAGAAGGCUAUGUUGGCCGGGCGACGGUUGUCCCGGUUUAAGCGUGUAGGCUGGUUUUCCAGGCAAAUCCGGAAAAUCAAGGCUGAGGCGUGAUGACGAGGCACUACGGUGCUGAAGCAACAAAUGCCCUGCUUCCAGGAAAAGCCUCUAAGCAUCAGGUAACAUCAAAUCGUACCCCAAACCGACACAGGUGGUCAGGUAGAGAAUACCAAGGCGCUUGAGAGAACUCGGGUGAAGGAACUAGGCAAAAUGGUGCCGUAACUUCGGGAGAAGGCACGCUGAUAUGUAGGUGAAGUCCCUCGCGGAUGGAGCUGAAAUCAGUCGAAGAUACCAGCUGGCUGCAACUGUUUAUUAAAAACACAGCACUGUGCAAACACGAAAGUGGACGUAUACGGUGUGACGCCUGCCCGGUGCCGGAAGGUUAAUUGAUGGGGUUAGCGCAAGCGAAGCUCUUGAUCGAAGCCCCGGUAAACGGCGGCCGUAACUAUAACGGUCCUAAGGUAGCGAAAUUCCUUGUCGGGUAAGUUCCGACCUGCACGAAUGGCGUAAUGAUGGCCAGGCUGUCUCCACCCGAGACUCAGUGAAAUUGAACUCGCUGUGAAGAUGCAGUGUACCCGCGGCAAGACGGAAAGACCCCGUGAACCUUUACUAUAGCUUGACACUGAACAUUGAGCCUUGAUGUGUAGGAUAGGUGGGAGGCUUUGAAGUGUGGACGCCAGUCUGCAUGGAGCCGACCUUGAAAUACCACCCUUUAAUGUUUGAUGUUCUAACGUUGACCCGUAAUCCGGGUUGCGGACAGUGUCUGGUGGGUAGUUUGACUGGGGCGGUCUCCUCCUAAAGAGUAACGGAGGAGCACGAAGGUUGGCUAAUCCUGGUCGGACAUCAGGAGGUUAGUGCAAUGGCAUAAGCCAGCUUGACUGCGAGCGUGACGGCGCGAGCAGGUGCGAAAGCAGGUCAUAGUGAUCCGGUGGUUCUGAAUGGAAGGGCCAUCGCUCAACGGAUAAAAGGUACUCCGGGGAUAACAGGCUGAUACCGCCCAAGAGUUCAUAUCGACGGCGGUGUUUGGCACCUCGAUGUCGGCUCAUCACAUCCUGGGGCUGAAGUAGGUCCCAAGGGUAUGGCUGUUCGCCAUUUAAAGUGGUACGCGAGCUGGGUUUAGAACGUCGUGAGACAGUUCGGUCCCUAUCUGCCGUGGGCGCUGGAGAACUGAGGGGGGCUGCUCCUAGUACGAGAGGACCGGAGUGGACGCAUCACUGGUGUUCGGGUUGUCAUGCCAAUGGCACUGCCCGGUAGCUAAAUGCGGAAGAGAUAAGUGCUGAAAGCAUCUAAGCACGAAACUUGCCCCGAGAUGAGUUCUCCCUGACUCCUUGAGAGUCCUGAAGGAACGUUGAAGACGACGACGUUGAUAGGCCGGGUGUGUAAGCGCAGCGAUGCGUUGAGCUAACCGGUACUAAUGAACCGUGAGGCUUAACCUUACAACGCCGAAGCUGUU
RNAcentral lists this ribosomal RNA (2024 nucleotides) under Escherichia coli. RNAcentral describes it as "partial 23S ribosomal RNA". It matches the Rfam family "Bacterial large subunit ribosomal RNA", at positions 940 to 2925 of the family's 2925-position model. The record is from RNAcentral. Lineage: Bacteria; Pseudomonadati; Pseudomonadota; Gammaproteobacteria; Enterobacterales; Enterobacteriaceae.